UACGUAGGUGGCAAGCGUUGUCCGGAUUUAUUGGGUUUAAAGGGUGCGUAGGCGGUCUUCUAAGUCAGUUGUGAAAUGCUUCAGCUUAACUGGAGAGGUGCAAUUGAUACUGGGAGACUUGAGUACUGAUGAGGUAGGCGGAAUGGACGGUGUAGCGGUGAAAUGCUUAGAUAUCGUCCAGAACACCGAUAGCGAAGGCAGCUUACUAAGGAGUAACUGACGCUGAGGCACGAAAGUGUGGGGAUCAAACAGG
Molecule: ribosomal RNA, 253 nt
Filed under: uncultured bacterium
Lineage: Bacteria
Description: partial 16S ribosomal RNA
Rfam family: Bacterial small subunit ribosomal RNA
Source: RNAcentral